CCCGCAAGGGAACGGGUGGAUUUAUUAGAACAGAACCAACCUGGGUCGAUUUCGGUCGUCCCUGUUGCUUUCUGUGAUGACUCUGGAUAACUUCACUGAUCGCAGUCGGCCUUGUGUCGGCGACGGAUCUUUCAAAUGUCUGCCCUAUCAAUUUUCGAUGGUAGGUGACCUGCCUACCAUGGUGCUAACGGGUAACGGGGAAUCAGGGUUCGAUUCCGGAGAGGGAGCCUGAGAAACGGCUACCACUUCCAAGGAAGGCAGCAGGCACGCAAAUUACCCAAUCCCGGCACGGGGAGGUAGUGACGAAAAAUACGGAUACGGGACUCACUUGAGGCUCCGUAAUUCGAAUGAGUACAAUUUAAAUCCUUUAACGAGGACCAACUGGAGGGCAAGUCUGGUGCCAGCAGCCGCGGUAACUCCAGCUCCAGAAGCGUAUAUUAAAGUUGUUGCAGUUAAAAAGCUCGUAGUUGGAUCUGGGUUGCAUGGCUACAUGCCGUCGCUCGUGUGUCUGCUACUACCGUGGUGGGCAUAUGAGUCGGUUUCGUGGUUGUGCUUCCUUUCUGCUGUGUCUGUUUACAGGUGUCAGCGUGGUUGGUUGGCUUGCCUGCCGACCUGUUGGCAUGCUUCUUGAUGCCCUUAACCGGGUGUCGGAGGCGGACAGCACGUUUACUUUGAACAAAUCUGAGUGCUCAAAGCAGGC
The sequence is a ribosomal RNA, 700 nucleotides long. It matches the Rfam family "Eukaryotic small subunit ribosomal RNA", at positions 186 to 785 of the family's 1831-position model.